UGCAAAACCCUGUGCACGCCUAUGACUGAAACAGUGUAGCUGCUUGUACCAGCGUAAAUGUAUGUAUUGUUUUCUGCAUAUGAAUGGCAAAAUGAUUUAGAGGAUAUCUGCAGCGCUAUUUUGUAUUGCUCCUCAUUGCAGGUGUGCAACCCGGAACUUUGCAUCCUUGUUGUGGACCCCCGGCUCCGCGGUUCGGGCCACGACUCUUGGGUGUGGCAGCAUAAUCCACUGUGUGCGCUCCUAGCCGCACAACUGCAGCCUGGCGAGUAUCUGCUUGGUGCCCAGCUACGACUAGUGCCAGGGAGCGCACCUUCUCCUGGAUGCCCUCCUGAGCCGCUGCCGUCUUCUCUGCCGCGACAGUGAGCCGGGUUGUGGAUUGUUUGAUCCUCCGCAGCACCUGAAAUGAAUAAUUGUGGUGGAAUUGUUCACAUGAGUUCCUGAUUACUCGCAACCAGCUCAUCGCUGGAAGCUGUUGUUGUUAGGAAUUGAAACGUGCACAACAAUUGCCCACAUCCCUCGCUGUAGCCACUGUGGUGUCUAUCCUUCCAACACAUCAUAUAUCCUAUGGCAAUGCCAUCCAAAACUACCCCCCCCCCUUACCCAAAACUUCAUCCCUCCCAUCUACCCCUUCCUCCGAGUGACUGACCGCCGCAGCCACCCUUCACGACCAACGAUUCCUUGCGGACUUCAUCGGCCUAGCGCUGAAGCACGCCGCAAGCGACGCCCUGGACUCAGGGCAUCGAUGCAUUUUUUUAUCGCAGAAUAAAGAAAGUGAUUUCUC
Molecule: long non-coding RNA, 781 nt
Organism: Dermacentor silvarum
Lineage: Eukaryota; Metazoa; Arthropoda; Arachnida; Ixodida; Ixodidae
Exons: 2
Source: RefSeq, a predicted model, not a curated record